Molecule: ribosomal RNA, 715 nt
Filed under: uncultured bacterium
Lineage: Bacteria
Description: bacterial SSU rRNA
Rfam family: Bacterial small subunit ribosomal RNA
Source: RNAcentral
AGAGUUUGAUCCUGGCUCAGAACGAACGUUGGCGGCGUGGAUAAGGCAUGCAAGUCGCGCGCGAAAGCACCCUUCGGGGUGUGAGUAAAGCGGCGGACGGGUGAGUAACACGUAAUCAAGCUGCCCUCGAGACAGGGAUAACAGCGGGAAACUGCUGCUAAUACCUGAUGGUCCCAGCGGAUCGCAUGAUCUGCUGGGUAAAGAUGGGGAUCCUUCGGGACCCGUCACUCGGGGAGGCGAUUGCGGCUUAUCAGCUUGUUGGUGAGGUAAUGGCUCACCAAGGCUACGACGGGUAGCAGGCCUGAGAGGGUGGUCUGUCACACUGGGACUGAGACACUGCCCAGACUCCUACGGGAGGCUGCAGUCGAGAAUCUUCCGCAAUGGACGAAAGUCUGACGGAGCGACGCCGCGUGGAGGACGAAGGCAUUAGUGUUGUAAACUCCUGUCACAGAUUAUGAAGGCGUAGUAGUUAAUACCUGCUGCGUUGACGUAAGUCUGAAAGGAAGCACCGGCUAACUCUGUGCCAGCAGCCGCGGUAAUACAGAGGGUGCAAACGUUGUUCGGAAUCACUGGGCAUAAAGCGCGCGUAGGCGGCCUAUUAAGUGUGGAGUGAAAUCCCACGGCUCACCCGUGGAACUGCUCUGCAUACUGGUAGGCUCGAGGACGGUAGGGGAGAGCGGAACUCUAGGUGGAGCGGUGAAAUGCGUAGAUAUCA